Long non-coding RNA from Fundulus heteroclitus (mummichog), 142 nucleotides. RefSeq lists it as uncharacterized. The transcript has 3 exons. NCBI's taxonomy places the organism in Eukaryota, Metazoa, Chordata, Actinopteri, Cyprinodontiformes, Fundulidae. The record is from RefSeq and is a predicted model, not a curated record.
GUUACAACCUAUAACACCCUUUACGAGAUUUUGACAGAGCAGGUGUGCACACAGGUAGUCCACAAGCCUCAUCCUGAGCCUGACUCCACUGUCAAGAUUCAGAAUCCAAUGAUCCUCAAGGUUGUUGCAAAUUUACUGAAGA